This 847-nucleotide ribosomal RNA is filed under the name uncultured bacterium. RNAcentral's name for it is "bacterial SSU rRNA". It matches the Rfam family "Bacterial small subunit ribosomal RNA", at positions 11 to 848 of the family's 1533-position model. The record is from RNAcentral.
GUUGGAUCCUGGCUCAUGAUGAACGCUAGCUACAGGCUUAACACAUGCAAGUCGAGGGGAAACGACAUCGAAAGCUUGCUUUUGAUGGGCGUCGACCGGCGCACGGGUGAGUAACGCGUAUCCAACCUGCCUAUCACUUGGGGAUAACCUUGCGAAAGUAAGACUAAUACCCAAUGACGUCUCUAGAAGACAUCUGAAAGAGAUUAAAGAUUUAUCGGUGAUGGAUGGGGAUGCGUCUGAUUAGCUUGUUGGCGGGGUAACGGCCCACCAAGGCUACGAUCAGUAGGGGUUCUGAGAGGAAGGUCCCCCACAUUGGAACUGAGACACGGUCCAAACUCCUACGGGAGGCAGCAGUGAGGAAUAUUGGUCAAUGGACGAGAGUCUGAACCAGCCAAGUAGCGUGCAGGAUGACGGCCCUAUGGGUUGUAAACUGCUUUUAUAAGGGAAUAAAGUGAGUCUCGUGAGACUUUUUGCAUGUACCUUAUGAAUAAGGACCGGCUAAUUCCGUGCCAGCAGCCGCGGUAAUACGGAAGGUCCGGGCGUUAUCCGGAUUUAUUGGGUUUAAAGGGAGCGUAGGCCGGAGAUUAAGCGUGUUGUGAAAUGUAGAUGCUCAACAUCUGCACUGCAGCGCGAACUGGUUUCCUUGAGUACGCACAAAGUGGGCGGAAUUCGUGGUGUAGCGGUGAAAUGCUUAGAUAUCACGAAGAACUCCGAUUGCGAAGGCAGCUCACUGGAGCGCAACUGACGCUGAAGCUCGAAAGUGCGGGUAUCGAACAGGAUUAGAUACCCUGGUAGUCCGCACGGUAAACGAUGGAUGCCCGCUGUUGGUCUGAAUAGGUCAGCGGCC